Molecule: ribosomal RNA, 934 nt
Filed under: Escherichia coli
Lineage: Bacteria; Pseudomonadati; Pseudomonadota; Gammaproteobacteria; Enterobacterales; Enterobacteriaceae
Description: partial 23S ribosomal RNA
Rfam family: Bacterial large subunit ribosomal RNA
Source: RNAcentral
GGUUAAGCGACUAAGCGUACACGGUGGAUGCCCUGGCAGUCAGAGGCGAUGAAGGACGUGCUAAUCUGCGAUAAGCGUCGGUAAGGUGAUAUGAACCGUUAUAACCGGCGAUUUCCGAAUGGGGAAACCCAGUGUGAUUCGUCACACUAUCAUUAACUGAAUCCAUAGGUUAAUGAGGCGAACCGGGGGAACUGAAACAUCUAAGUACCCCGAGGAAAAGAAAUCAACCGAGAUUCUCCCAGUAGCGGCGAGCGAACGGGGAGGAGCCCAGAGCCUGAAUCAGUGUGUGUGUUAGUGGAAGCGUCUGGAAAGGCGCGCGAUACAGGGUGACAGCCCCGUACACAAAAAUGCACAUACUGUGAGCUCGAUGAGUAGGGCGGGACACGUGGUAUCCUGUCUGAAUAUGGGGGGACCAUCCUCCAAGGCUAAAUACUCCUGACUGACCGAUAGUGAACCAGUACCGUGAGGGAAAGGCGAAAAGAACCCCGGCGAGGGGAGUGAAAAAGAACCUGAAACCGUGUACGUACAAGCAGUGGGAGCACGCUUCGGCGUGUGACUGCGUACCUUUUGUAUAAUGGGUCAGCGACUUAUAUUCUGUAGCAAGGUUAACCGAAUAGGGGAGCCGAAGGGAAACCGAGUCUUAACUGGGCGUUAAGUUGCAGGGUAUAGACCCGAAACCCGGUGAUCUAGCCAUGGGCAGGUUGAAGGUUGGGUAACACUAACUGGAAGACCGAACCGACUAAUGUUGAAAAAUUAGCGGAUGACUUGUGGCUGGGGGUGAAAGGCCAAUCAAACCGGGAGAUAGCUGGUUCUCCCCGAAAGCUAUUUAGGUAGCGCCUCGUGAAUUCAUCUCCGGGGGUAGAGCACUGUUUCGGCAAGGGGGUCAUCCCGACUUACCAACCCGAUGCAAACUGCGAAUACCGGAGAAUGUUAU